CAGAUGCUAAUACCGGAUAACAACAGAUGAUGCCUAUCAACUGUUUAAAAGAUGGUUCUGCUAUCACUCUUGGAUGGACCUGCGGUGCAUUAGCUAGUUGGUAGGGUAACGGCCUACCAAGGCGAUGAUGCAUAGCCGAGUUGAGAGACUGAUCGGCCACAUUGGGACUGAGACACGGCCCAAACUCCUACGGGAGGCAGCAGC
This 204-nucleotide ribosomal RNA is filed under the name uncultured Lactobacillus sp. RNAcentral describes it as "partial 16S ribosomal RNA". It matches the Rfam family "Bacterial small subunit ribosomal RNA", at positions 157 to 355 of the family's 1533-position model. Lineage: Bacteria; Bacillati; Bacillota; Bacilli; Lactobacillales; Lactobacillaceae. The record is from RNAcentral.